RNAcentral lists this non-coding RNA (230 nucleotides) under Pandoraea thiooxydans. The record is from RNAcentral. Lineage: Bacteria; Pseudomonadati; Pseudomonadota; Betaproteobacteria; Burkholderiales; Burkholderiaceae.
CUAAACUUGCAGCGCUUUGGUGCUCGCGCUGGGCUUUUUGCCCGCGCAGUUAAACGGGAAACAGGGAGCCGUGUCCGCUCGGAUCGGGCCAACCUGUGCUGCCCCCGCAACGGUAAGCAACCUUCUCUGGCAUGCGCCGGAGACCAGUCACUCAAGCGCCACUGCGAUCGCGGGAAGGCGGGUGUGCUGCGGUUGCCAGCCCGGAUACCGGCCGAAGCGAGUCGGGGAAU